Molecule: ribosomal RNA, 495 nt
Filed under: uncultured bacterium
Lineage: Bacteria
Description: partial 16S ribosomal RNA
Rfam family: Bacterial small subunit ribosomal RNA
Source: RNAcentral
GAUGAACGCUGGCGGCGUGCCUAAUACAUGCAAGUCGAGCGAACGGACGAGAGGCUUGCUUCUCUGAUGUUAGCGGCGGACGGGUGAGUAACACGUGGAUAACCUACCUAUAAGACUGGGAUAACUUCGGGAAACCGGAGCUAAUACCGGAUAAUAUUUUGAACCGCAUGGUUCAAAAGUGAAAGACGGUCUUGCUGUCACUUAUAGAUGGAUCCGCGCUGCAUUAGCUAGUUGGUAAGGUAACGGCUUACCAAGGCAACGAUGCAUAGCCGACCUGAGAGGGUGAUCGGCCACACUGGAACUGAGACACGGUCCAGACUCCUACGGGAGGCAGCAGUAGGGAAUCUUCCGCAAUGGGCGAAAGCCUGACGGAGCAACGCCGCGUGAGUGAUGAAGGUCUUCGGAUCGUAAAACUCUGUUAUUAGGGAAGAACAUAUGUGUAAGUAACUGUGCACAUCUUGACGGUACCUAAUCAGAAAGCCACGGCUAACUACG